UAUGGCAACCAGCAGGCCCUGGCCUGGUUGCCAGGUUCCCAGCGGCCGUCUAGUCCGCCGCGCCUGCACAAAGACCGCGCGGUGACCGCGCAGCACAGCGCCGCGACCCGGCCAAGCCAGCCCCACAGGAAUUGCCACCCCCGCCGCCCCUGCCCGGGAAGCAGUUCCGGCGGCCUCCGUGACGUGCAGGCCGGGCGCGGCCUCGACCCUCGGGCCAUCUUGGCAGCGGAGGGAGCGGCGGAGCGACAGGUACAAACGCCGCCCGGCCCGGGCCAGCCCAGGUGCCGCCGCCUUUGUUCUCGCGCGGGUGAUCGCAUGGCACCCGUGGGCAUCCGCAGCCCGAGCUCCGGCAGGUGCAUCCCGCAAAGUCUGGGCGGCGCAGGACAGCGCAUCUCGUAAGGCCUGGGCAGGUCCAGCCUAUGCAUCCUACAAGGGCUAAGCAGAUCCGUCUCGAGCAUCCUUCAAGGCCCGAGCAGGUCCAGCCAGCGGCCCACACCUUGAUUCUGCGAAGCCUGCAGAGAGGAACUGCGUCCAGGACAGGACCAGCGUCCCCAGGCUUGUCCUCGUAGACUCUGCCUGGGCACACCUGCUUCAGCACCCAAGGUCUUUCGCUCUGGUUCUCCAGCUCUCUGUGGCUUGACUUUGGCCAGCAUGGUCCAACCUCAGACCUCCAAAACAGAGAACCCAGCCUCUGCCCCUGGUGCCAGCGCUCAGAUGGAUGACGUAGUUGACACUCUGACCUCCCUGCGCCUCACCAACUCUGCGCUGAGGCGCGAGGCCUCCACACUGAGGGCGGAGAAGGCCAAUCUCACCAACAUGUUGGAGAGUGUGAUGGCCGAGCUAACUCUACUGCGCACCCGAGCUCGCAUCCCUGGCGCUCUGCAGAUUACUCCACCCAUCUCUGCCAUCACCUCCAAUGGGACCCGGCCCAUGACAACACCGCCCACCUCGCUGCCUGAACCCUUCUCAGGAGACCCUGGCCAGUUGGCAGGGUUCCUCAU
Molecule: long non-coding RNA, 1001 nt
Filed under: Rattus norvegicus (Norway rat)
Lineage: Eukaryota; Metazoa; Chordata; Mammalia; Rodentia; Muridae
Description: long non-coding RNA NONRATT027193
Source: RNAcentral